This 253-nucleotide ribosomal RNA is filed under the name uncultured bacterium. RNAcentral's name for it is "partial 16S ribosomal RNA". It matches the Rfam family "Bacterial small subunit ribosomal RNA", at positions 524 to 776 of the family's 1533-position model. The record is from RNAcentral.
UACGGAGGGUGCAAGCGUUGUCCGGAUUUAUUGGGUUUAAAGGGUGCGUAGGCGGCCCGUUAAGUCAGUGGUGAAAGCCUCCAGCUCAACUGGAGAACUGCCAUUGAUACUGGCGGGCUUGAGUACAGACGAGGUAGGCGGAAUUGAUUGUGUAGCGGUGAAAUGCAUAGAUACAAUCAAGAACACCGAUUGCGUAGGCAGCUUACUAGGCUGUAACUGACGCUGAGGCACGAAAGCGUGGGGAGCAAACAGG